This 472-nucleotide ribosomal RNA is filed under the name uncultured bacterium. RNAcentral's name for it is "partial 16S ribosomal RNA". It matches the Rfam family "Bacterial small subunit ribosomal RNA", at positions 28 to 507 of the family's 1533-position model. The record is from RNAcentral.
GAUGAACGCUGGCGGCGUGCCUAAUACAUGCAAGUCGAGCGAACGGACGAGAAGCUUGCUUCUCUGAUGUUAGCGGCGGACGGGUGAGUAACACGUGGAUAACCUACCUAUAAGACUGGGAUAACUUCGGGAAACCGUAGCUAAUACCGGAUAAUAUUUUGAACCGCAUGGUUCAAAAGUGAAAGACGGUCUUGCUGUCACUUAUAGAUGGGUCCGCGCUGCAUUAGCUAGUUGGUAAGGUAACGGCUUACCAAGGCAAGGAUCCAUAGCCGACCUGAGAGGAUGAUCAGCCAAACUGGGACUGAGACACGGCCGAGACUCCUACGGGAGGCAGCAGGGGGGAAUAUUGGACAAUGGGAGAAAGACUGAGCCAGCAAGGCCGCGUGAGUGAUGAAGGCCUUAGGGUUGUAAAGCUCUUUUACCCGGGAUGAUAAUGACAGUACCGGGAGAAUAAGCUCCGGCUAACUCCGUG